This 465-nucleotide ribosomal RNA is filed under the name uncultured bacterium. Its description in RNAcentral is "partial 16S ribosomal RNA". It matches the Rfam family "Bacterial small subunit ribosomal RNA", at positions 28 to 507 of the family's 1533-position model. The record is from RNAcentral.
GAUGAACGCUGGCGGCGUGCUUAACACAUGCAAGUCGAACGGAAAGCUCCUGCUUGCAGGGGUACUCGAGUGGCGAACGGGUGAGUAACACGUGGGUGAUCUGCCCUGCACUUCGGGAUAAGCCUGGGAAACUGGGUCUAAUACCGGAUAGGACGAUGGUUUGGAUGCCAUUGUGGAAAGUUUUUUCGGUGUGGGAUGAGCUCGCGGCCUAUCAGCUUGUUGGUGGGGUAAUGGCCUACCAAGGCGUCGACGGGUAGCCGGCCUGAGAGGGUGUACGGCCACAUUGGGACUGAGAUACGGCCCAGACUCCUACGGGAGGCAGCAGUGGGGAAUAUUGCACAAUGGGCGCAAGCCUGAUGCAGCGACGCCGCGUGGGGGAUGACGGCCUUCGGGUUGUAAACUCCUUUCGCUAGGGACGAAGCGCAAGUGACGGUACCUGGAGAAGAAGCACCGGCUAACUACGUG